GAGUUUGUAUCCUGGCUCAGGACGAACGCUGGCGGUGUGCUUAACACAUGCAAGUGGUGCGACGAACCAGAGCUUGCUCUGGGGCAAAGCCGCGAACGGGUGAGUAACACGUGGGUAAUCUACCCCGAUGACUGGGGACAACCCGGAGGAAACUCGGGCUAAUACCGGAUGUGGUACGGAAACAUAAGUUUCUUUACUAAAGGUAGCUUCGGCUUCCGCAUUGGGAGGGGCCCGCGGCCCAUUAGCUAGUUGGUGGGGUCAAGGCCUACCAAGGCAACGAUGGGUAGCUGGUCUGAGAGGACGAUCAGCCACACUGGGACUGAGACACGG
Molecule: ribosomal RNA, 330 nt
Filed under: uncultured bacterium
Lineage: Bacteria
Description: bacterial SSU rRNA
Rfam family: Bacterial small subunit ribosomal RNA
Source: RNAcentral